AGUAAGGUCAGCUAAAUUAAGCUUUUGGGCCCAUACCCCAAAUAUGUUGGUUAACACUCCUUCCCCUACUA
RNAcentral lists this transfer RNA (71 nucleotides) under Raddaella batesii. RNAcentral's name for it is "tRNA-Met". Lineage: Eukaryota; Metazoa; Chordata; Actinopteri; Cyprinodontiformes; Nothobranchiidae. The record is from RNAcentral.